RNAcentral lists this ribosomal RNA (496 nucleotides) under uncultured bacterium. RNAcentral describes it as "partial 16S ribosomal RNA". It matches the Rfam family "Bacterial small subunit ribosomal RNA", at positions 29 to 507 of the family's 1533-position model. The record is from RNAcentral.
AUGCACGCUGGCGGCGUGCCUAAUACAUGCAAGUCGAGCGAACAGACGAGGAGCUUGCUCCUCUGACGUUAGCGGCGGACGGGUGAGUAACACGUGGAUAACCUACCUAUAAGACUGGGAUAACUUCGGGAAACCGGAGCUAAUACCGGAUAAUAUAUUGAACCGCAUGGUUCAAUAGUGAAAGACGGUUUUGCUGUCACUUAUAGAUGGAUCCGCGCCGCAUUAGCUAGUUGGUAAGGUAACGGCUUACCAAGGCAACGAUGCGUAGCCGACCUGAGAGGGUGAUCGGCCACACUGGAACUGAGACACGGUCCAGACUCCUACGGGAGGCAGCAGUAGGGAAUCUUCCGCAAUGGGCGAAAGCCUGACGGAGCAACGCCGCGUGAGUGAUGAAGGUCUUCGGUUCGUAAAACUCUGUUAUUAGGGAAGAACAAAUGUGUAAGUAACUAUGCACGUCUUGACGGUACCUAAUCAGAAAGCCACGGCUAACUACGUG